This 372-nucleotide ribosomal RNA is filed under the name uncultured bacterium. RNAcentral describes it as "bacterial SSU rRNA". It matches the Rfam family "Bacterial small subunit ribosomal RNA", at positions 524 to 898 of the family's 1533-position model. The record is from RNAcentral.
UACGGAGGGUGCAAGCGUUAUCCGGAAUCAUUGGGUUUAAAGGGUCCGCAGGCGGACUUAUAAGUCAGUGGUGAAAGCCUACAGCUCAACUGUAGAACUGCCAUUGAUACUGUAAGUCUUGAAUAUGUUCGGAGUGGGCGGAAUGUGACAUGUAGCGGUGAAAUGCUUAGAUAUGUCACAGAACACCGAUAGCGAAGGCAGCUCACUAGACCAUUAUUGACGCUCAUGGACGAAAGCGUGGGGAGCAAACAGGAUUAGAUACCCUGGUAGUCCACGCCGUAAACUAUCAAUACUCGUUUUCAGCGAUAUACUGUUGGAGACUAAGCGAAAGUGAUAAGUAUUGCACCUGGGGAGUACGAUCGCAAGGUUGAA